GUCCUGCAUGUCGAUCUCAGAAAAACAAACCCCAGGUCACCCACCGGUCUGAAGAGGAGGAUGAGAGACAAAGAAAAAAGUUGUCUGGCUGCCUCUGCUGUCUACAGAUUGAAGAAGAUCCAUCCAGCUGAGCCCAGCCUAGACCAGCUGACUUCUCCAAUAAGCCUGUAUGAAAUAAAUGCUUAUUGUUAUGUG
Molecule: long non-coding RNA, 195 nt
Filed under: Pan troglodytes (chimpanzee)
Lineage: Eukaryota; Metazoa; Chordata; Mammalia; Primates; Hominidae
Description: lincRNA
Source: RNAcentral